RNAcentral lists this ribosomal RNA (859 nucleotides) under uncultured marine bacterium. Its description in RNAcentral is "bacterial SSU rRNA". It matches the Rfam family "Bacterial small subunit ribosomal RNA", at positions 8 to 916 of the family's 1533-position model. The record is from RNAcentral.
AGAGUUUGAUCCUGGCUCAGAACGAACGCUGGCGGCAGGCCUAACACAUGCAAGUCGAGCGCACCUUCGGGUGAGCGGCGGACGGGUUAGUAACGCGUGGGAACAUACCCUUUUCUACGGAAUAGCCUCGGGAAACUGAGAGUAAUACCGUAUAAGCCCUUCGGGGGAAAGAUUUAUCGGGAAAGGAUUGGCCCGCGUUAGAUUAGAUAGUUGGUGGGGUAAUGGCCUACCAAGUCUACGAUCUAUAGCUGGUUUUAGAGGAUGAUCAGCAACACUGGGACUGAGACACGGCCCAGACUCCUACGGGAGGCAGCAGUGGGGAAUCUUAGACAAUGGGCGCAAGCCUGAUCUAGCCAUGCCGCGUGUGUGAUGAAGGUCUUAGGAUCGUAAAGCACUUUCGCCAGGGAUGAUAAUGACAGUACCUGGUAAAGAAACCCCGGCUAACUCCGUGCCAGCAGCCGCGGUAAUACGGAGGGGGUUAGCGUUGUUCGGAAUUACUGGGCGUAAAGCGUACGUAGGCGGAUUGGAAAGUUGGGGGUGAAAUCCCAGGGCUCAACCCUGGAACUGCCUCCAAAACUAUCAGUCUAGAGUUCGAGAGAGGUGAGUGGAAUUCCAAGUGUAGAGGUGAAAUUCGUAGAUAUUUGGAGGAACACCAGUGGCGAAGGCGGCUCACUGGCUCGAUACUGACGCUGAGGUACGAAAGUGUGGGGAGCAAACAGGAUUAGAUACCCUGGUAGUCCACACCGUAAACGAUGAAUGCCAGUCGUCGGGCAGUAUACUGUUCGGUGACACACCUAACGGAUUAAGCAUUCCGCCUGGGGAGUACGGUCGCAAGAUUAAAACUCAAAUGAAUUGACGG